Sciurus carolinensis (gray squirrel) is the source of this 2873-nucleotide RNA transcript. RefSeq lists it as uncharacterized. NCBI's taxonomy places the organism in Eukaryota, Metazoa, Chordata, Mammalia, Rodentia, Sciuridae. The transcript has 4 exons. The record is from RefSeq and is a predicted model, not a curated record.
CCCUCCUCCUGCCUGGCCCACCCAGGCUUAGCAGAGGAACAAGACCUAGAAAGGCUAAGCUGAGAGAACAACUCCAAAUCAUCCUUUUAUUUAUAUAAAAAGGGAAUAUUUAGCAAAAGACACACUGAGAAAAGAGUCAAUAUGGCCCCAGAGACAAGGCAGGGAGGUGACAGGCCUUCUAAGCUCCUGUUGGGGGAGAAGGAGGCCUGGGACAAAGUGGUGAGAAGUAAGUGCAGUGAUGGGGGCCGAGAAAGGAGAAGGCUCCAGCGGGAUCGAUACUGCUGGCAGGUCUGGGGUACUUGGUGACCUGGCAGCUCACUCUUGCAGGGGGAGGGGCCCAGUUAGUGCUGCCCACUGGAGUGAAAGACGCUCCCUGGUUCCUGGAGGGCACCCACCAAGGGACAAGACAGGAAGCCCAGGAUAGGAAGUGCAACUUGGGGCCAGGGCCAGGGAGAAGCAGGUGCUCUGCAGUGGCCGGAAAGGUCCAGACGCUGAGGCCAAGGUGCUUCCUGUUACGUGCGGGCGUUUCUCUCUGUCUCCGCCAGGCACUCUCUGACCAGGGCCCGAGCAUGGAUGAUGCCUGGGGUGGGGAUGGGUGGGACAGGGAGGUCACAUACAGGAUCUCAGUGGCCCUCCACAGCCCCACCCUGCCCUCCAGAAAAGCCCUCCCUCCCUCCCCACCCCACUUUUGUUUCAGCUAGAGAAGCUCAAAUCUAAGGAGGGACUAGAUGAGAUUACAGAUGUGGCUAAUCCUCAAAUUAACCCUGUUGAAAGACAAAUUCCCAGGCACUUUCCUGGAAAUUGACUCAAUUUCAAAUCAAACAUCUCUCUGGGUAGUGAUACUGGCCCUUGUGUAGGUUUGGCUCAAGUGUCCUGUCCUGACUCCAGAUGUCAGUCCUUCCCUAAGGUUGAGGGACUGUCCAGUGACUGUCUCCUGGAUAGGGCAGGGUGGGCCUGGCCUCACUUACCUCUUUUCAGGCGCUCCAUGGCGCUCUUGCUACCAGCAUAGGUGGGCCGAAUCUCUUUACCCAUCUCCUCUAUGACCGAAAGCAGGUCCGUGUAGGUGCUCUGGGAGCCCUGCGCACCAGGUGGCUUCAUCGCCUAUGUCAAAAGAGAACGGGGGCGUGAGGUCAGGUCCCGGAUGGGCCUCCAGUCCUCAUCCAUAAACAAGCCCUUGGCCACACUCACCUGCACAUAGCCCAUGGAGGGAGGGCCAAAGUCGUUAAACAGUGGUCUGAAAGGGGCAGCGGCUCCUGGCACCGAGCCCGACGGCGAUGGGACACUUCCAGCUGCAACAGGCGCGAAUAAGAGGCCAGCAAACUGAGGCUCAGCGAGGCUAGGCGGCAGGCCCAGUAUUGCAGAACUCAGGCCGUCUUCUCUUCAAGACCUCGACAGCCCCGGUAGGCGAGCAGGGGUGGAGUUAGAUCCUCACCUGUAGGUACCGGGGUGCCUGGCCCAGGGGUGCUGGAGCCGGGGGUGCUGCUGGGGGCGGGAGCGAUAGGUUUGUAGGACAUCCCCAACUCCUGGGUGCGGCGGACGCCAGCCGGCCGCUCCUCGGGGGUUGGCUGCCGGGCCGCUCAGCCGCGCUCUGAUUGGCAGACGGGUUGCACGCCCCUGGUAAAUAGAGCUCCGGCCGGAAGGGUGGGAGGGCACGCAAGCUCCCUCACUCCCGAUUGGCGCGCAAGGACGUCACUCGAGCCUCCUCAUUGGUCGAGGCCUGCCCCCGCAGGUCGCAACUACCGCCGAUUGGUUCGCGCCUUCCGGACCUCGCACCUGUCUGCUCCGGAUUGGGCGGUGGCUGCCGCCCUCAGCAAUUGGCGAGUUCGCGGCCCGGGCCGGCGCGCUCUCAAUCCGAUUAGUCCCAAGGCCCGAGAGGCGGGGCCUCGGAAGCGGGACCCGGUCCCGGCAGCCGCGGUUCGCGCCGAGGGGGUCUUCUCGGGCGCGGGCGCCGCCCUCCCGCCUUGCUCGCGCUGCCUUGCGCGUCCGUUCCGCGCCGCCCAGUCUCAGUCCUACCGGAGCUGCGGUCGCCGUCGCCGCGCGCCCCUUCCCUUCUCUCCGGGUGCCGAAGGACGCGGGGCUUUGACGUUCCGAGCCCUGCGCCCCACCCCGCGCGCUUUUACGUCACCUUUCCCCGGUUCAGCACCCGUUCUCCGGUCUGCGCAUGCGCCCGCCUCAGGCCUUCUUUUGUUCCCAUGGCAACGGGUCCCUCUCCAACGCCGCCUCUCACGGCUCUUCUCGGGAUUGGACGAGCGUUCCUUCAUCUAUCCGGCAAACAUUUUCUGACUCCCUCCUCCAUGCCAGGCCUUGUCCUGAUCGAAGAUACAGAAAUGAACUGGCCACGGCCUCCGACCUCCGGGAUCUCCUAUUUUGCGGACACGUGCACGUGAGUGUACAUAGCAGUUUUAAAAUCUCCAAAUCUAGAGGCAUCCUUUGUGCUAGUCAGCUUCCGAUCACUGUGACCAAGUACCUGAGACAAUCAACUUUGAGGGAGAAGAGAUUCAUUUUGUCUCAUGGCUUCAGAGGUUUCAGUCCAUGGUUACUUGGUGUUGAAGUACAUCGUGACUGGACACAUCUACGUGGUAGAGGAGGCUGGUUGGUGUCAUGGUGGCCGGAAAGUGAUCAGAGAGGGGCCAGUGUCCUGUUGUCCCUUCCAGGGCACACCCCCAGUGACGAAUCUUCCCCCACCAGGCCCUGCCUCCUGAAGGCCCCACCACCUCCCAAUGGCACCACUGGCUGGGGACCACUCCUUCUAACAUGGCCUUUGGAGGACAUUUAGCCUUCACAGGAUAGCAUCUUUGAUAGUUGAAUGGGUAAAAGAACUGUGAUAGAGCCAUUCAAUGGAACACCAUUCAGUCAUGAAAGAAAUCACUUUU